UCACAGCUUCUGCUAUAAAUAUUUCAUGUUGUCUUGCACAGAAGAAAGUUAGUCAUACAGGUUUUGAAGGACAUGAGGGUGAGGAAAUGAUGACAGAAUUCACAUCUUCUUUGGCCUGUUUUGCAUCUGAUAACUUUCUCAAAACCCCCCAUCCGUCUUUCGUCCAUGCUCACGCGUUAUUCUGUCCAGGUAUGCUGGCGGUGGGCCCUGCGUGAUUAUGAGCUGGUAUGAAUAUAUGAUAAGAGGAAUGAUGACAGCAGGCCUUUGCUGAAAUAUGAAACUGAUGGCGCCGAUUCGUCAACAUUCGACAGGUGUCAGCAGAAAGAAGAGAUAAAAGUCUCAGGUGCUGGGAAAGGAGGAGAUUCAGUGGAGGAGAGGAGAGACGGAUGAUAUUUAGACCUGGGUGAAUGAGAAGCAAUAGUUGGAUAUUGAAGCCCUCAGGAGUUGAUCGUCUAGCCAGUUUUUACUGCUCCGGCUGCCAGGAGACAGAGACUGAGAGAGAUGGGACGGAGCAAGAAGAUUUAAUUGUGGAGGUUGGUGGGUUACAAAUGAGUAAGAGUGAAUAAACAAGAGAGAUAAACAAGAGUGAAUGAGUGUGAUGAGGA
Megalobrama amblycephala (Wuchang bream) is the source of this 605-nucleotide long non-coding RNA. RefSeq lists it as uncharacterized. The record is from RefSeq and is a predicted model, not a curated record. NCBI's taxonomy places the organism in Eukaryota, Metazoa, Chordata, Actinopteri, Cypriniformes, Xenocyprididae. The transcript has 3 exons.